UGAGGAAUAUUGCAUAAUGGGCGAAAGCCUGAUGCAGCAACGCCGCGUGAGGGACGAAGGCCUCGGGUCGUAAACCUCUUUUCUGGGGGACGAGUAAGGACGGUACUCCAGGAAUAAGUCUCGGCUAACUACGUGCCAGCAGCCGCGGUAAAACGUAGGAGGCGAGCGUUAUCCGGAUUUACUGGGCGUAAAGCGUACGCAGGUGGCUUCGUUAGUCGGACAUAAAAGCUCCUGGCUUAACUGGGAGAGGUUGUUCGAUACUGCGGGGCUUGAGGUUGGGGGAGGGACGUGGAAUUCCCGGUGUAGUGGUGGAAUGCGUAGAUAUCGGGAGGAACACCAGUGGCGCAAGCGGCGUCCUGGCCCACACCUGACGCUGAGGUACGAAAGCGUGGGCAGCAAACAG
Molecule: ribosomal RNA, 403 nt
Filed under: uncultured bacterium
Lineage: Bacteria
Description: bacterial SSU rRNA
Rfam family: Bacterial small subunit ribosomal RNA
Source: RNAcentral